UGGGGAAUAUUGGACAAUGGGCGCAAGCCUGAUCCAGCCAUGCCGCGUGGGUGAUGAAGGCCCUAGGGUUGUAAAGCCCUUUCGGCGGGGAAGAUAAUGACGGUACCCGCAGAAGAAGCCCCGGCUAACUUCGUGCCAGCAGCCGCGGUAAUACGAAGGGGGCUAGCGUUGCUCGGAAUCACUGGGCGUAAAGCGCACGUAGGCGGAUUGUUAAGUCAGGGGUGAAAUCCUGGAGCUCAACUCCAGAACUGCCUUUGAUACUGGCGAUCUCGAGUCCGGGAGAGGUGAGUGGAACUGCGAGUGUAGAGGUGAAAUUCGUAGAUAUUCGCAAGAACACCAGUGGCGAAGGCGGCUCACUGGCCCGGUACUGACGCUGAGGUGCGAAAGCGUGGGGAGCAAACA
This 402-nucleotide ribosomal RNA is filed under the name uncultured Rhodoplanes sp. RNAcentral describes it as "bacterial SSU rRNA". It matches the Rfam family "Bacterial small subunit ribosomal RNA", at positions 355 to 774 of the family's 1533-position model. The record is from RNAcentral. Lineage: Bacteria; Pseudomonadati; Pseudomonadota; Alphaproteobacteria; Hyphomicrobiales; Nitrobacteraceae.